This 770-nucleotide ribosomal RNA is filed under the name Xanthoparmelia subtasmanica. RNAcentral describes it as "SSU rRNA". It matches the Rfam family "Bacterial small subunit ribosomal RNA", at positions 375 to 1160 of the family's 1533-position model. Lineage: Eukaryota; Fungi; Ascomycota; Lecanoromycetes; Lecanorales; Parmeliaceae. The record is from RNAcentral.
GCAAUAGCUAGUUGCAUCAUAGUAGAUAUGAUGCAAGAUCGACUAUGUUGAAUAAAAUUCUAGGUAGAAUUAUGAUAAUGACAUUGUCUGCCUAUGUGUCUUGACCAAAUUACGUGCCAGCAGUCGCGGUAAUACGUAGAAGACUAGUGUUAUUCAUGUUUAAUCGGUUUAAAGGGUACCUAGACGGUAGAUCAAGCUUUCUAAUAAAGGAAAAGGACUAGUUUACUAGAGUUACUUAUGAGGGGGUAUUAAAGUACUGCUGGUGUAGAGAUGAAAUUCUGUCAUACCUCUUUUCAAAAGAAAAACCAUGGCACAGGUAUAGGCGAAGGCAUCCCCUUAUGUGAUAACUGACGUUGAGGGACGAAGGCUUUGUGUAGCGAACAGGAUUAGAUACCCCAGUAGUCGAAGCAGAAAAUGAUGAAUGUCAUAGAUUAGAUAUAUAAGUUUAUUCUAUAAAUGAAAGUGUAAGCAUUCCACCUCAUGAGUAAUUUGGCAACAUUGGAACUGAAAUCAUUAGACCGUUUCUGAAACCAGUAGUGAAGUAUGUUGUUUAAUUUGAUGUCCCGCAAAAAACCUUACCACAAUUUGAAUAUUUAUAUUGUUUAUUGUUUUAUUCUUAAUUUUCUUGAAGAAAAUUAAGAAAAAAGCAAUAAGAUAUAAUUACAAGCGUUGCACGGCUGUCUUCAGUUAAUGUCGCGAGACUUUGGUUAGUUCCAUUAAAUUAACGUAAACCCUUACUUUAUUUUUAUAUAGAGUAGUUCCCCGCUAUA